CUGGCUCUUCUGUUUUAGGCCCGCCUGUUUGAUGUUGUAAACUGUUAAUAAAAGGCUUUGCCAUGAAGGGAUCUGUGGGAGAAGGUGAUGGCUUUCCAAGCCAGGAUCUUCUCUCCACCCGGCACACACUGACGUCACAAAAUCCUGUCUCUAUGUUGAUCAUUUUCCUUUUAAUCUUUUAAACUCACAUUUCUCUGGAUUAAAAACCCAACAUUUUUGGUGCUGAAAACCCGGGAGUCAAGAUCCAAUUGUCCAGGACUGUGCGAGACCAAGGCCAAGAAACUGUCAACAGCCGUCCACCCUUUGCCGGACGGAGCCAAUAGGUUGGUCCAGCCCUGCCCUGGACAUCCUGGUGACGACUCAAGCUGAGGACUGAUCUGCACAGAAACGGAAGGCCUGAAGCCUGGAGACCGAGUGCUGAUUAAAAUCAUCAAAAGGAAAACUUGGAAAGCUCCGAGGUGGGAAGGACCCUACAAAGUGCAACUAACAACCCCCACUGCCGUGAAAAUCCAGGAGAGAGACACUUGGAUCCACCAGAGUCAUUGUAAACUGAUUAAAAACUUUCCACAGCAAAAAAGCCCAGUUACUUUCACAGGGACCCCACGACUAAGGUAUAGAUCUGUGGUGAAGUCCAGCUUCAAAGGGGUUUGGUUUUUUUAGGACCACUCGUCUCAACGCUGGUGAA
This is a long non-coding RNA of Cyprinodon tularosa, 685 nucleotides long. RefSeq lists it as uncharacterized. The transcript has 2 exons. The record is from RefSeq and is a predicted model, not a curated record. Lineage: Eukaryota; Metazoa; Chordata; Actinopteri; Cyprinodontiformes; Cyprinodontidae.